Molecule: ribosomal RNA, 1001 nt
Filed under: Mycolicibacterium senegalense
Lineage: Bacteria; Bacillati; Actinomycetota; Actinomycetes; Mycobacteriales; Mycobacteriaceae
Description: bacterial SSU rRNA
Rfam family: Bacterial small subunit ribosomal RNA
Source: RNAcentral
UCUUUCANUAGGGACGAAGCGCAAGUGACGGUACCUAUAGAAGAAGGACCGGCCAANUACGUGCCAGCAGCCGCGGUAAUACGUAGGNUCCGAGCGUUNUCCGGAAUUACUGGGCGUAAAGAGNUCGUAGGUGGUUUGUCGCGUUGUUCGUGAAAACUCACAGCUUAACUGUGGGCGUGCGGGCGAUACGGGCAGACUAGAGUACUGCAGGGGAGACUGGAAUUCCUGGUGUAGCGGUGGAAUGCGCAGAUAUCAGGAGGAACACCGGUGGCGAAGGCGGGUCUCUGGGCAGUAACUGACGCUGAGGAGCGAAAGCGUGGGGAGCGAACAGGAUUAGAUACCCUGGUAGUCCACGCCGUAAACGGUGGGUACUAGGUGUGGGUUUCCUUCCUUGGGAUCCGUGCCGUAGCUAACGCAUUAAGUACCCCGCCUGGGGAGUACGGCCGCAAGGCUAAAACUCAAAGGAAUUGACGGGGGCCCGCACAAGCGGCGGAGCAUGUGGAUUAAUUCGAUGCAACGCGAAGAACCUUACCUGGGUUUGACAUGCACAGGACGCCAGUAGAGAUAUUGGUUCCCUUGUGGCCUGUGUGCAGGUGGUGCAUGGCUGUCGUCAGCUCGUGUCGUGAGAUGUUGGGUUAAGUCCCGCAACGAGCGCAACCCUUGUCUCAUGUUGCCAGCACGUUAUGGUGGGGACUCGUGAGAGACUGCCGGGGUCAACUCGGAGGAAGGUGGGGAUGACGUCAAGUCAUCAUGCCCCUUAUGUCCAGGGCUUCACACAUGCUACAAUGGCCGGUACAAAGGGCUGCGAUGCCGUGAGGUGGAGCGAAUCCUUUCAAAGCCGGUCUCAGUUCGGAUCGGGGUCUGCAACUCGACCCCGUGAAGUCGGAGUCGCUAGUAAUCGCAGAUCAGCAACGCUGCGGUGAAUACGUUCCCGGGCCUUGUACACACCGCCCGUCACGUCAUGAAAGUCGGUAACACCCGAAGCCGGUGGCCUAACCCUU